This 22-nucleotide non-coding RNA is filed under the name Arabidopsis thaliana (thale cress). The record is from RNAcentral. Lineage: Eukaryota; Viridiplantae; Streptophyta; Magnoliopsida; Brassicales; Brassicaceae. RNAcentral also lists the same sequence under 2 other names.
CUGAGAAACGGCUACCACAUCC